Cercocebus atys (sooty mangabey) is the source of this 431-nucleotide long non-coding RNA. RefSeq lists it as uncharacterized. The transcript is spliced from 3 exons. NCBI's taxonomy places the organism in Eukaryota, Metazoa, Chordata, Mammalia, Primates, Cercopithecidae. The record is from RefSeq and is a predicted model, not a curated record.
GAAUCUAAAAGCUUGCUGAGAAACUGCCUCCAAUGUUGCUCCCUUAACUUUCACUGUGGAAAACUCUGAAGGAAGUUGACUGCACCCUUUAAUGGAAGCAUGAGGAACCAGUCUCUUUCCUUUAGAUAUGAAUGAAAAUGUCUCCAUUGUGACUCAGCAGAUCUCCAGGAUUUUCCUGUGUAGUUUGUGUUUUGGCUCUCAACUGGUGGAAACUGACUGCUACAAGACUGAAGUUUUUAAAUCAAACCCAAAUAACAAAAUGUAUUUCGAGCUGAAAAAGGUGGUGGCAUCAGGCUGGGGGAAUAGAGAGGCCCAAGAACGAAAGACAGAGGAAUAACAGGUCAGUGGAGCAGUCAGAACACACACAACAUUUGUGGUGCCCCCUAACAGUUACAGUAGUAAUAUUAAAGAUCACUGAUGACAUGUCAUCA